This 1555-nucleotide ribosomal RNA is filed under the name metagenome. RNAcentral describes it as "bacterial LSU rRNA". It matches the Rfam family "Bacterial large subunit ribosomal RNA", at positions 1226 to 2913 of the family's 2925-position model. The record is from RNAcentral.
UACAUGGAGAGCUUUCUGUGAAGCCGGGCUGUAAGGCAUCCGGUGGAGAGAUCAGAAGCGAGAAUGUUGACAUGAGUAGCGACAAAGAGGGUGAGAGACCCUCUCGCCGAAAGUCCAAGGGUUCCUGCUUAAAGCUAAUCAGAGCAGGGUGAGCCGGCCCCUAAGGCGAGGCCGAAAGGCGUAGUCGAUGGGAACUAGGUUAAUAUUCCUAGGCCAGUGGGAAGUGACGGAUCUCGAAGGUUGUCUGCCCUUAUCGGAUUGGGUGGGCCGCUUAGAGGCUCCUGGAAAUAGCCCCACAUCAGACCGUACCCUAAACCGACACAGGUGGACUGGUAGAGUAUACCAAGGCGCUUGAGAGAACCACGUUAAAGGAACUCGGCAAAAUGCCUCCGUAAGUUCGCGAGAAGGAGGCCCCAUCAGUAGGCAACUAUUGGUGGGGGGCACAAACUAGGGGGUGGCGACUGUUUACUUAAAACACAGGGCUGUGCGAAGCCGUAAGGCGACGUAUACAGUCUGUCGCCUGCCCGGUGCUGGAAGAUUAAGAGGAGGGGUGCAAGCUCUGAAUUGAAGUCCCAGUAAACGGCGGCCGUAACAAUAACGGUCCUAAGGUAGCGAAAUUCCUUGUCGGGUAAGUUCCGACCUGCACGAAUGGCGUAACGAUCUCCCCGCUGUCUCUAACGUGGACUCAGCGAAAUUGAACUGUGUGUCAAGAUGCACACUUCCCGCGGUUAGACGGAAAGACCCCAUGCACCUUUACUCUAGCUUUGCACUGGCAUCAGGAUUGUGAUGUGCAGGAUAGGUGGUAGGCAUUGAAGCGGGGACGCCAGUCUUCGUGGAGCCUCCCUUGAGAUACCACCCUUCGCACUCUUGAUGUCUAGCCGCGGCCCGAUAUCCGGGUCCGGGACCCUGCAUGGUGGGGAGUUUGACUGGGGCGGUCGCCUCCUAAACAGUAACGGAGGCGCGCGAUGGUUGGCUCAGACCGGUCGGAAAUCGGUCGUUGAGUGCAAUGGCAGAAGCCAGCCUGACUGCAAGUCUGACAAGACGAGCAGAGACGAAAGUCGGUCAUAGUGAUCCGGUGGUCCCAAGUGGGAGGGCCAUCGCUCAACGGAUAAAAGGUACGCUGGGGAUAACAGGCUGAUGAUGCCCAAGAGUCCAUAUCGACGGCAUCGUUUGGCACCUCGAUGUCGGCUCAUCUCAUCCUGGGGCUGGAGCAGGUCCCAAGGGUAUGGCUGUUCGCCAUUUAAAGAGGUACGUGAGCUGGGUUUAGAACGUCGUGAGACAGUUCGGUCCCUAUCUGCCGUGGGUGUAGGAGACUUGAGAAGAGUUGCCCCUAGUACGAGAGGACCGGGGUGAACGAACCACUGGUGGACCAGUUAUCGUGCCAACGGUAGUGCUGGGUAGCUAUGUUCGGACAGGAUAAACGCUGAAGGCAUCUAAGCGUGAAGCCCCCUUCAAAACAAGGUCUCCCUUGAGAGCCGUGGAAGACCACCACGUCGAUAGGCCGGAGGUGUAAGUGCAGCAAUGCAUUCAGCUGACCGGUACUAAUUGCUCAAAG